Molecule: long non-coding RNA, 1979 nt
Filed under: Citrus x clementina
Lineage: Eukaryota; Viridiplantae; Streptophyta; Magnoliopsida; Sapindales; Rutaceae
Description: Citrus clementina (C. clementina) long non-coding RNA (CCLE_LNC003289)
Source: RNAcentral
ACGCCCUGAUCACACGGUCAUGACUCAUCCACCAGACUUGAUAUCCUGUCUCCUUAGAACUCAAGGACACAGAGGUACGAGCCUAUAGAACAGAUCCUGUUCAAGUAAGGUCGUGGCUGCUUGGCCGUGCAUGCUUAAUAAGUAUCCUUCUUCCAUUACUUAAUUUUCCAAUGUGGGAUAAAGGAGCAAAAAGAAACAUGCUUUUCUUGCUCAGAAAUGUUGUCGUUUUCCCUUAAUCCUCAUACAAAACGUUUCUUUAACACUCACCACUAUUAGUUGUUUUUUCUUCUUUCUGCAGCUAACUGGCUAAGUACUCUGCCAUAACCUCACCCAAACAAACAUAUAACUGUCAGAGACUGCUUCCAACUCAUUGAGUUCCCCCAUUUUUCCAACUUCUAAGAAGCUUUUAAAAAAUUCCAAUGCAACAAAAUGGCAUUAAUCUUUCAAAGUUUUAGGCACCUUAAUCCAGAUAAUGUAAACUUCAUUUUCAGGUCUGAAAGAAAUUAAACACUUUCAACGUAUUAGAUUUCGUAUUUAUUUUUAUGUUAAAAACAUCAAAAUUAUUUUUCCCUAAAGAGCAAUUCAACAAAUUCAUUGUAAUUCGAGUUUGACCUACUUAUCCAGCUCAAUUCCUUGAUGAUGAUUCUAUCGGUCCAUCCCAGAUCGUAAUGCUUCAGAUUGGCAUUUUUUUCCAGCUAAGUUCAAAGACGAGAGAAGUUUGAGCUUUGAAGAUUAUUAUUGAACUCACAGAAAAACAUAAAUGAAUUUACAAUUUGAUAUCAGAAAACAUGCAAUGAGUAAUAACACUUUGGUUAAUUGUUUCUAAAGGUGAAAUGCAGAAAAAUCCAGCAAGACUUGCUCCACCACAAUACCACAGGCAAAUAUUCCAACAGCGAAAACUACGGGUCUUGCUCUCGAUAACUCAUUUCUAUCAGAAUCUUUGGAUUCUUGAUUGUGCACUGCCCACGCCAUAGCUGGCGGUAGAACUCCAUAUAGCAUUGUCAUACAGUAGCCCCCCUGCAUUAAUGUGUCAACAGGGUGACUUUGAAAUAUUGUUAAGUUUUCAUUACCUGAUGUAUGCUUAAACUUACAGCAAUAUCUGUGGCAGCGGAGAAUGCAUCGGGUACUGUUGUCGAGAUGAAGAGGGACGGGGUAACAACCAUUGCCAUUGCAGUGAAGCUGAUCUUAUUUCUUCCCCACCAGUUCCUCAGCCCGAAGAACUCUGUUGAUUCCUUUUAUGCAAAGGUAUUAAUGGUUUGGAACAAAAUGUAAGAGGAACUGAAACUUAAUUGGAAAAUAGACUCAAACCUACCUUAGACGUUUUUGUAGGGGAAGAGUUCCAUGACAAGCUUUUAAGCUGCUCCUUGAAGAAUUCUGAGAAGCCCAAGAGAGUGCCUAUUAGUGAAGUUCCUACCGCCAUAAGCGAAAAUGCCUCCACCAUUACUGAAACACCGCUCCAUCUCACCCUGAACGUAACUUUGAUAUCAAAUUUAGCACAAAAUAUAAACCAGAAAAAGAAUAGGCAAAUGAGUACAAACAAGCAUGAAAUUCAUUCUGACAGCAGUCUUGAGAUCAAAUUAAAAACUAAAUUCAGAGCCGGCAAAAUGGGAUUUAGAAGUCUGUCAGACAACCGAGUGACCACCCCAGCCGGUAACCCAGCUGAGAACGAUCCUCUACAGCCUCAACAACCCAAGGGUCGGUGACGGCCGUUACUCACGCUCUGAUCACACGGUCAUGAUUCAUCCACCAGACUUGAUAUCCUGUCUCCUUAGAACUCAAGGACACAGAGGUACGAGCCUAUAGAACAGAUCCUGUUCAAGUAAGGUCGUGCCUUUUUGGCAAGACACUGCUUAAUAAGAAGGCUUCUUUCAGUGCUUAAUUCUUCCAUGUGGGUUUCGAUAUGAACAUGGUGGCUUUUGCUAAUCUAUUUGCCUGUCUUGGGUUUAACAUUUUCCAUAUAUGAGAAUAUAAUAUUUAAU